GACGGGGGGUCCUAGCGUUGUUCGGAAUUAUUGGGCGUAAAGCGUGUGCAGGUUGUUUAAAAAGUUAGAUGUGAAAUCCUUGGGCUCAACCCAAGACGUGCAUUUAAAACUGUUAGACUUGAGUAUGGAAGAGGGUCGUGGAAUUCCAGGUGUAGUGGUGAAAUACGUAGAUAUCUGGAGGAACACCGGUGGCGAAGGCGGUUGCCUGGGGCUUUGCUGACGCUGAGGAGCGAAAGCGUGGGGAGCGAACAGG
This 253-nucleotide ribosomal RNA is filed under the name uncultured bacterium. Its description in RNAcentral is "partial 16S ribosomal RNA". It matches the Rfam family "Bacterial small subunit ribosomal RNA", at positions 524 to 776 of the family's 1533-position model. The record is from RNAcentral.